RNAcentral lists this ribosomal RNA (460 nucleotides) under uncultured Treponema sp. Its description in RNAcentral is "partial 16S ribosomal RNA". It matches the Rfam family "Bacterial small subunit ribosomal RNA", at positions 341 to 792 of the family's 1533-position model. Lineage: Bacteria; Pseudomonadati; Spirochaetota; Spirochaetia; Treponematales; Treponemataceae. The record is from RNAcentral.
ACGGAAGGCAGCAGCUAAGAAUAUUCCGCAAUGGACGAAAGUCUGACGGAGCGACGCCGCGUGGAUGAUGAAGGUCGGAAGAUUGUAAAAUCCUUUUAUGACUGAGGAAUAAGUAAGGUGAGAGAAACGCCUUAUGGUGACUGUAGGUCAUGAAUAAGCAACGGCUAAUUACGUGCCAGCAGCCGCGGUAACACGUAAGUUGCGAGCGUUGUUCGGAAUUAUUGGGCGUAAAGGGCAUGUAGGCGGUUUUGCAAGCUUGGUGCGAAAUCUCGGAGCUCAACUCCGAAAUUGCGUUGAGAACUGCAUGACUAGAGUCACUGAGGGGCAAUCAGAAUUCCAGGUGUAGGGGUGAAAUCUGUAGAUAUCUGGAAGAAUACCAAUGGCGAAGGCAGGUUACCAGCAGAUGACUGACGCUGAGGUGCGAAGGUGCGGGGAGCAAACAGGAUUAGAUACCCUGGUA